RNAcentral lists this unclassified non-coding RNA (278 nucleotides) under uncultured Anabaena sp. RNAcentral's name for it is "partial 16S-23S ribosomal RNA intergenic spacer". Lineage: Bacteria; Bacillati; Cyanobacteriota; Cyanophyceae; Nostocales; Nostocaceae. The record is from RNAcentral.
UAGGGAGACCUAAUCCAUUUAGAAAUCGAAAACAACGAAAAUUGUCAAUAGAAACUAAAUUGGUCUAACCUAGGUCGUUCGAGAUUGGUAGACAUCUUUCAAAGUAUUAUUCGGCUUCGUUCAAAACCAUAUAUAAUAAAUGGAAAAAGACAGCACCUAAUUGUCAAAGUUAGACUGCUGGAUGAAGUUCCAGCCAGAACCUUGAAAACUGCAUAAGAGAACAAGAAAAAGCAGGCAGACACAGACAUUUAGAUGGAUGUGGAAGCAAAAGAAAUUGU